GGUGGGUUGGCAUAAUUGGUAAUGCGUCUGACUACGACCUCGUAGAGUAUCAGGAGAUUCUGGGUUCGAGCCCCAGGCUCGCCU
Non-coding RNA from Pseudovirgaria hyperparasitica, 84 nucleotides. The record is from the annotation of a RefSeq genome assembly. Lineage: Eukaryota; Fungi; Ascomycota; Dothideomycetes; Acrospermales; Acrospermaceae.